RNAcentral lists this ribosomal RNA (561 nucleotides) under uncultured bacterium. RNAcentral's name for it is "bacterial SSU rRNA". It matches the Rfam family "Bacterial small subunit ribosomal RNA", at positions 339 to 916 of the family's 1533-position model. The record is from RNAcentral.
CUACGGGAGGCAGCAGUGGGGGAUAUUGCGCAAUGGGAGAAACCCUGACGCAGCGACGCCGCGUGAGCGAAGAAGGCCUUCGGGUCGUAAAGCUCAGUCAUUGGGGAUGAAAAGGACAGUACCCAAAGAGGAAGCCCCGGCUAACUACGUGCCAGCAGCCGCGGUAAUACGUAGGGGGCGAGCGUUGUCCGGAAUUACUGGGUGUAAAGGGCGUGUAGGCGGGGGUACAAGUUACCGGUAAAAACCCGAGGCUUAACUUCGGGCUUGCCGGUAAAACUGUAUCUCUUGAGUGUAGGAGAGGGAAUCGGAAUUCCCGGAGUAGCGGUGAAAUGCGUAGAUACCGGGAGGAACACCAGUGGCGAAGGCGGAUUCCUGGCCUACAACUGACGCUGAGGCGCGAAAGCUGGGGUAGCAAACGGGAUUAGAUACCCCGGUAGUCCCAGCUGUAAACGAUGGUCACUAGGUGUGGGUGGUGGUCAAGCCAUCCGUGCCGGAGUUAACGCAAUAAGUGACCCACCUGGGGAGUACGACCGCAAGGUUGAAACUCAAAGGAAUUGACGG